Molecule: ribosomal RNA, 446 nt
Filed under: uncultured bacterium
Lineage: Bacteria
Description: partial 16S ribosomal RNA
Rfam family: Bacterial small subunit ribosomal RNA
Source: RNAcentral
GUGAGGAAUAUUGCGCAAUGGACGAAAGUCUGACGCAGCCAUGCCGCGUGAAGGAUUGACGGCCCUAUGGGUUGUAAACUUCUUUUGUAUAGGAAUAAACCCUCGUUCGUGAACGAGGCUGAAGGUACUAUAAGAAUAAGCACCGGCUAACUCCGUGCCAGCAGCCGCGGUAAUACGGAGGGUGCAAGCGUUAUCCGGAUUUAUUGGGUUUAAAGGGUUCGUAGGCGGAUCGUUAAGUCAGUGGUGAAAUCCUACCGCUCAACGGUAGAGCUGCCAUUGAUACUGGCGAUCUUGAGUAUGUAUGUAGUUGGCGGAAUGUGUGGUGUAGCGGUGAAAUGCUUAGAUAUCACACAGAACACCGAUUGCGAAGGCAGCUGACUAAUACACAACUGACGCUGAGGGACGAAAGUGUGGGGAUCAAACAGGAUUAGAAACCCGUGUAGUCC